Molecule: small nuclear RNA, 19 nt
Filed under: Arabidopsis thaliana (thale cress)
Lineage: Eukaryota; Viridiplantae; Streptophyta; Magnoliopsida; Brassicales; Brassicaceae
Description: snRNA_15018
Source: RNAcentral
GACAUUUAGGAAAUUUAGG